Molecule: transfer RNA, 64 nt
Filed under: Typhlatya miravetensis
Lineage: Eukaryota; Metazoa; Arthropoda; Malacostraca; Decapoda; Atyidae
Description: tRNA-Ala
Source: RNAcentral
AAAGUUAUAGUCAAAAAUGAUAUCUGAGUUGCAUUCAGAAGGUGCUUUCUGAAAGCUGACUUUA